UUUUUUUGUUGUUUUUUUUGUUUUGUUUUUUUUGUUUUGUUUUGUUUUGUUUUUUAAGAUUUAUUUUUUUAUUUGAGAGAGAGAGAGAGCAAGCAUGAGCAAGAGGGCCAGAGAGAGAGGGAAUCUUGAGCAGACUCCACACAGAGCCCAAGAUGGGGCUCAAUCCUACAACCCUGGGAUCAUGACCAGAGCUGAAAUCAAGAGUCGGGUAUUCAACAAACUGCGCCACCUAGGCACCCUGAGACAGUGGAUAUUCUUAUUAGAUUUGGUCUCUUAUUUGUUUGUUCUUCAGGAACAAACAUCUGCCUUGGGGCCAGGGGUGGAGUCUAAGUCACAGUAACCCUUGACCAUAUUCAUUCACAUACAAACCUGACAAUGAGCGCAUUGCAAGAACUGACCCCCGGUAGAAGAAUCCUGACCCAGAGUGUGGUCAACACACCCAAGAAGCAUCCAAGAGAACUAGGACUCUGGGGAACAACUUGCCAACGUUGCAUAAACCCAACUUGGAGGCCUGCUACCCCAGGACCCCAGUCAGUGUAAAUCACAGCAGCUCUCCCUCACUGAGCACCCAACAUCAGUGAGGCCUGUGCCAAGGAACAGCUUCGCAACACGGCCUCGCAUUUAAAGCUCACCACCACCCACAAGCCAGAUGCUGUUCCGCGCACAUUAUGAAGCUGGAGGUUCGGAGGGGUAAAGCAACAGAUCUGAACUCACACCUGGCUAACUGCACAGGCUGGGCUCUUAGGCACUACACUGAAUUAAUUUAUUGAUCAGCUGACAGCACACAAAGUUUCAUUGUAGCUCUCUUCAACCUGUUGGUCUCCUGCCAGUGAAAAGGUUUCAAAUCUCAGAGACAUUCCUUUUUCUUGCAGUUACUUUCCCUUUCUUACAGCAUCUCUUCAGAUGUUAUAAGUUCAGGUCAUGAUCUCAGGGUCAAGGGAUCAAAUCCUGCAUUGGGCUCUGUGCUCCACAGGGAGUCUGCUUGAGACUCUCUCUCUCCCUCUGCCCCUUCCCCUGUUUGUACAUUCUCUCUCUCUCUCUAAUAAAUACAUAAAUCUUUAAAAAAAAAAAAAAAAGAGUACCUGUAGCAGGAUUAUUCAUGCCAGCCUCAAACUGGAAAGAGCUUGAAUGCCCUAAUACGGGGCUAGGUGAGCACACUGAUACAUAAAAUGAUUAAAUACUAAAUGCGCUAUUCAAAAUGAGAAUGUGGUUAACACAGCUAUAAGCUAUAUGGAAUAUAAAAUUACAAUAACACUAAAUAUUGCAACUGCAAUAGUAUGUACCUACCACUGAAAACCAUUAAACAAUCCCACUCAGAUACAAUUUUAGAACCUAAUCAGAAAGUGAUACGACAGGGGAUGCCUGGGUGGCUCAGUCCCACAUCGGGCCCCCUGCAUGGAGCCUGCUUCUCCCUCUGCCUGUGUCUCUGCCAAUCUCUCUCUGGGUCUCUCAUGAAUAAAUAAAUAAAAUAUUUUUUAAAAAAGGAAAGUGAUAUGAGAAUUCAACUACAGUUUGUUAUGGUGGUUUAAAGCUGCGGAAGAAACACAAACUAUAAAAGUCAAAACACAGACCAAUAAUAGGUUUCUAUGUAAUCAAACAAACUUAUAUUCAUGGCAACAUCACAUUCUGAUCAUGGAAAAUAAUUUUUUAAGAUUUGUAUUUUUAAGUAAUCUGUACACCUAACAUGAAGUCAAACCCACAACCCUGAGAUCAGAAGUUGCAUGCUCUACUGAAUGAGCCAGCCAGGCACCCCUAAUUUCUUAAUUUGUGUUAUUAAAAUACCUGUCUGCUCUAUAGCUUCUUGAAAGCUGGCUUUAAAAUAAAGUCAAAAGUAUCCCUGGGGAAAAAGGAGGUAUGAGAUUCUAUAUCAGUGCUGCUCAGGAAAUAGUUCCUUUAAUCCUUUUUGUUUAUUCUAGUCUUUGCAUUUAUGAACUCUCUAAACCCUUCUACUUAAAUCAUAGCACUAAAUCUAGGAUUAAAGAUACAGUGAAUUUUCUGAUAGAAUGUACUUGACUUCAUGUCUGGCCCAUGUGUUUACAACAGUUUUGUACUGGAGUAAUUUGCUGAAUGAACCUGUACAAAAUAAUGUGUCUGAAAAUUCAUCUUUUAAAAUGUAUUUUAUCAGAAUAUGUGACAGGAGGUUUCUAUUUACUUCUGGUAAGAAAAAGUUAUCCAGUCCCAUUGUAGACUUUGUAUGUGUUAAUGGGCUCUGAAGCCAGGUGAGAGAAGUCAUGAUCUCAGGGUCGAGGGAUCCCGCAUUGGGCUCUGCGCUCCACAGGGAGUCUGCUUGAGGCUCUCUCUCUCUCCCCGGUGCGCCUUCCCCAGAAUGGCAACACAAGGACAUUAGCCAGUCUAGUCAUGUGUUUCAUGGACCACUUUUCCAUGCCGUAGGCUGUCAGUCCUUCCUUCUACCAUCCUUCAAAAUACUCACCAGGAUUUUUAGGAUCUUCUACAUUAUCAUUACCACCACUAUCUACCUAUGCUAGAUAAAACUCAGAUUGGUCACCUUAUGACACACAUGAUUUCUACAAUAAGCAAAAAUACAGAAGGCACAUCAAGGCAGUGCCUUUAUGCUUCCAUUUUAAGGUAUCAAUUUUAACUAAAUCAUCCUUACUGACCCACUUUCUCCUUUGAUAUGUCACAAAUUUACCUGAGGCAUCAAUACACAAAAACCCAUAUAUUAGUUGUCUGGGUAUUAAUCAGUUCCGUAUCUCAGAAUUCCCCAGGAUUUAAUAUAAUGCAAAAAUUAAUCAUUUCUGCAUAGUACUGUCAGUAGACAAUAUUACUUACCUUACAUUUACCAUCUGGUUUGAGGUCCUUCCAGUUUUCACAUUUGCUAUUUAACCCUCACCACCCCAGCAUACAAUGAAAUCUCUUUAGUCAGUCACUUUUGAGAACACAUUUUACAAAAUCAACAUCUCCGAUAUGAGAUCUGAUGAAACAAUAACAAAAUGAAGCAGGUGUCACCAACAAAAAUUCUGUCCUAAAAUGCAUAACUUAAUUUAACUCAACCAGUAUUUACUGAAUGCCUACCAUGCCCUACCCCCAGGCAGUGUACUCCUGAGUCAGGCUUCUUAGAGGGAACAAACCUCCACAAAAUAAAAAAAAAAAAAAUUAAAAAAACCCAUGGUCCAUAACAUCCAAAAGUCUGGUGACCAGUGAUUUAAAUGAUUUUAUGGCACCUUUACUCUCCCUGUGCCUAAGCAACCAUCUGGUUUCAGAUGAGCAUCUCUAGAAGCGGCCACCAGGGACUGGGCCAUGAAUUACUGCUCAGAGCUAUUUAACGCACAAGACAGAAAUGUAUUAAGUGGCAAUGAAGUAGUAAUUACUAAAUGGUACCCCAGGGGCUCAAAGAAUCAGUAAUUAACUACCACUUACUACACUAUGAUUGUGAGUUAUUAAAUGGCACUAAAGGAACAGUUCAUUAAAUGGUACCUUAGUGUCCUGAAAGAGUAUUUCCAUAUAACUCAGCACCAGCAUGCUUACACACUGGGAAAGUCCCACUGUUUGUUGGAAAACAAUGUGCCCUGUCACACAGUACCAUCUCCAGCCCGGAACCCCAACUCGGUUGGAUGGCUGAGCAAGCACUUCAUUCAGUGACCCCUCCCAGAAGUCCCUGGCAUUGAUUUGGCCUGCAGCUUAAGAGCAGGGUGUGACAAAACCACUGCCCCACUGAAUCUAUCACAGUCCUGUCUCUUGUAUCAAUUCACACCCAAAGCCGUGGGGAAUCUUCUUAUAUAGGUUUAUAUUUUGCCAUUCUGAUACCAACAAAGAACAUUUAAAAGUAAAUCAUGAUCCGAUUAUAAAUAACAUCUGCCAUAUUUACUGACAACCUCCUCUAAAAUGUCUUUUUUGGGCAUUCUCCUUAAUUUCCUCCUCUGGUUCCCACCUCUCAGUCCCAUUUUAUUCUAAGUCAGCUCAUCCCUAGCCAUUCCUUCCCUCCAGUUAAUGAUCCCAGCCUUUUAAAUCAAAAUUCAACAUGAAGAGUUUAUCUCUCUAGAAGACUUUACCUGAUAAGGAGACAAGACAUAUUGAAAAACUCUUCCAAAGUACGUUAAAGUCAUCCCUUCAAAGUCCAAAUGAGUUUACAAAGAAAACUAAGUUGGAUUGCCUGGGUGGCUCAGUUGGUUAAGUAUCCAACUCUUGCUUUCAGCUCAGGUUAUAAUCUCAGGGUCGUGAGAUCAAGCCCCACAUCGGGCUCUGCCCUGAGUGUGGAGCCUGGUUCAGAUUCUCUCUCUCUCUCUUCCUCUGCCUCUCCCCUGCAUGCGUGUACACACAUGCACUCUCUCUCUUUAAAAAAUAAAAACAAGGGAUGCCUGGGUGGCUCAGAGGUUGAGCAUCUGCCUUCGGCCCAGGGCAGGAUCCUGGAGUCCCAGGAUCGAGUUCCACAGCGGGCUCCCUGCAUGAAGCCUGCUUCUCCCUCUGCCUGUGUCCCUGCCUUUCUCUGUGUGUCUUUCAUGAAUAAAUCAAUUUUAAAAAUAUAUAAAUAAAAAUAAAUAAAAACAAACAAACAAACAAAAAAAACUAAGUUGGUGCUUUUUUCCCCUAUGCUAAAGUUGCCUAGAUCUUGUUAUUACAAUAGUCUCAACAGACAAAUCUACCUUUCAUAGAUCUACAUAAUACCCAAAGGGAGCACAUAAUGAAUCUUAACAUUGAAUCACUCUGGCCCGUAAAAGAAUAUAUACUACAAAGUUUUUUAAGAUGACAGAUGAUAGCCUUAUCAUUAGGUGAACUCAAGAAAGUGUGAAAGAAAGAUAUACAAUUAACCAAUGAACUGGUCAAAGUUUCAGGUGACACAGAGGAUGGGCAGAUGAGAUCAAGGAGAUAAAGUUCAAAGAGGAAGAACAACAGGUCAUUAAUCACAUGGAUCUGGGGAAACUUUCACAGACUGAAACAAAUGGAGAAAGCAUUUUAGAAGAAACCAGAGAUGGUCAUGAAAGCGGUGCUUCCAUAACAGAAAUGGUAAAAUACUCCUAGAGAUUAUAUCUUCAAAUAAGAACUCAAGAAUUAUUUUUCAAGCCCUAUCAAAUGACAAAGUAGUAUUUGCUACUUUUAUUGUCAAAAGCUCUCUUUAGCAAAGUUUUAGGAGUAAAAGGAAGGUACAGAGCAUGGCAGACUGUCUACAAUAAAGACUGAAAAGGGGCACUGGUUUUAACUGCAUCAACCUCCAGUGUGAUAAUUAAUUGCAAUGAAAGUCAAAAGAAGACAUAACUGUGUAAGAGCCUGGGACAGGCUGCCCCAAAUGUACCACAAUGGCACACUCAAUCUUUUGAAUUGAAGCUACUUAGGAAACAGCUGGUGUAAGGGCACUCAGACCCUCCCCUGUCCCCCUGAAAAUAAUUUCCCAUAUGAAAGGUGCCCUCCCUGUACUAAGAAGUAAAAAGACAUUCUUAUCAACAGAGAUGGGAACUUUAAAGCUGAGAAAGCUAUAGAAACAAACUGUUAUUUUUUUAUUCAUCUAUUACCUCAGCCCAAAUUCCACUUAGAGUACUUUAUACUAAUUAAAGCUCCCAAACAUCUGUUUUCUUUAUCCUGCCAAUUCCCCGCCAAUUUGCCGUCUCUUUGUCUAAAAUGUUUAAGAACUGCACUGCCUUUGGUCAUUUGCUUGGGUCCCAAUUUCACUAUUAGACCUCUGUGCAAACAUAAUAAAACUUGAGGGUUUUUUCUCCUGUUAAUCUGUCUCCUGUAAAAUUUAAUUCUCAGUCCAGCUAGAAGAACCGUAGGCCGGGGAAAAUUUCUUCCUCCCAUUUAACUGCAUACUAGAAUGAUGUAAGGGAAAAUAUAUACUGGAUAUACAUUUUUGGUUCUUAACCAGUGAAGCUACAUCCAUCGUUAAACCUCCUCUUAAUUAGUUAUCCAAAGUCUAUUUGCCAAGAAAAAAAUAGUAGCUAAAGAGUUUGGGAAAAAUACAUUAAAAGAACAGCAUUAAAGAAAGUCAGCAGCAGGUUUCCCUUCAAUAUGGGACAAUAAAAAUGGUUCACAUUUCCGUAGGUAGUCUGUGGGCCUGCAUAAAAAUUCAAAAGUUAUUAUAUUGUGACUCAAAAGUUCUAACCCAUUUAUCCUGUGAGAAACUAGUACAAGGAUGUUUAAUGAAGCAUUAUUCAUAACAGGGAAAAUGUUUCAUCUUUAAGAGACUGGUUAAAUAAACCACAGCACAUUCAUACAAUGGAAUACAUUUCAGUUAUUAAAAAGGAGGGGCCUAAAUUUAUUGACAUGGAUAGAUUACCAGAAUCUAUUGUGAAGAAAAAAAUAAAAGAAGGCCUCAUAAUAUGGUAUCAUAUGGCUAAGGUUCUAAGUGGGCACAUGUGCAUGAUGAUCAUAAAAAAUAAGGGCAAUAAUUAUCUUCAGAAGGUAGGUACUCGUCAUGGUUUGCCCUGUACUUGUACUUUUAUAUGUUGUUUAAACUUUCCACAAUAAACUUUUCUCUAAACAACAGGAAAAAAAAGAAGAAAGAAAGAAAAUUAAGCUUUAUAUGGAAAGUAGAAUCACUGGUACACUUUUUUUUAAUUUAAAUUCAAUUAGCCAACAUAUAGAACAUCAUUAGUUUCAGAUGUAGAGUUCAGUAAUUCAUCAGCUGCUUAUAACAAACACUCAGCGCUCACUACAUCAGGUGCCCUCCUUAAUGCCCAU
This 6630-nucleotide long non-coding RNA is filed under the name Canis lupus familiaris (dog). RNAcentral describes it as "lncRNA (ENSCAFG00845007993.1)". Lineage: Eukaryota; Metazoa; Chordata; Mammalia; Carnivora; Canidae. The record is from RNAcentral.